UACAGAGGUCCCAAGCGUUGUUCGGAUUUACUGGGCGUAAAGGGUGCGUAGGAGGUUGGCAAAGUCGGAUGUGAAAUCUCACCGCUUAACGGUGAAAUUGCGUUCGAUACUGGUUGACUAGAGUAUCGGAGGGGAAAGCGGAAUUCCUGGUGUAGCGGUGAAAUGCGUAGAUAUCAGGAAGAACACCAACGGCGAAGGCAGCUUUCUGGACGAUAACUGACUCUGAGGCACGAAGGCUAGGGGAGCGAACGGG
RNAcentral lists this ribosomal RNA (253 nucleotides) under uncultured bacterium. RNAcentral's name for it is "partial 16S ribosomal RNA". It matches the Rfam family "Bacterial small subunit ribosomal RNA", at positions 524 to 776 of the family's 1533-position model. The record is from RNAcentral.